UGAUGCAGCGACGCCGCGUGGGUGAGGAAGGCCUUCGGGUCGCAAAGCCCUUUUCUGCGUGACGAGGAAGGACGGUAGCGCAGGAAGAAGCGUCGGCUAACUACGUGCCAGCAGCCGCGGUAAAACGUAGGACGCGAGCGUUAUCCGGAGUUACUGGGCGUAAAGGGCGUGCAGGCGGGGGCGCAAGUCACGCGUGAAAGUCUUCGGCUCAACCGGGGGGAAGACGGGUGAUACUGCGUUUCUAGAGGGCGCUAGAGGGACACGGAAUUCCGGGUGUAGUGGUGAAAUGCGUAGAGAUCCGGAGGAACACCAGUGGCGCAGGCGGUGUUCUGGGGCGCACCUGACGCUGAGACGCGAAAGCAUGGGGAGCGAACGGGAUUAGAAACCCCGGUAGUCCAUGCCGUAAACGAUGCCGACUAGCGGUCUGGGGAAACCUGGGUCGCGCAGCUAACGCGAUAAGUCGGCCGCCUGGGGAGUACGGUCGCAAGGCUA
This 492-nucleotide ribosomal RNA is filed under the name uncultured bacterium. RNAcentral describes it as "bacterial SSU rRNA". It matches the Rfam family "Bacterial small subunit ribosomal RNA", at positions 384 to 896 of the family's 1533-position model. The record is from RNAcentral.